RNAcentral lists this ribosomal RNA (482 nucleotides) under uncultured bacterium. Its description in RNAcentral is "partial 16S ribosomal RNA". It matches the Rfam family "Bacterial small subunit ribosomal RNA", at positions 30 to 507 of the family's 1533-position model. The record is from RNAcentral.
AUUGAACGCUGGCGGCAUGCCUUACACAUGCAAGUCGAACGGUAACAGGUCUUCGGAUGCUGACGAGUGGCGAACGGGUGAGUAAUACAUCGGAACGUGCCUAGUAGUGGGGGAUAACUACUCGAAAGAGUGGCUAAUACCGCAUGAGAUCUACGGAUGAAAGCAGGGGAUCGCAAGACCUUGUGCUACUAGAGCGGCCGAUGGCAGAUUAGGUAGUUGGUGGGAUAAAAGCUUACCAAGCCGACGAUCUGUAGCUGGUCUCAGAGGACGAUCAGCCACACUGGGACUGAGACACGGCCCAGACUCCUACGGGAGGCCGCAGUGGGGAAUUUUGGACAAUGGGCGCAAGCCUGAUACAGCAAUGCCGCGUGCAGGAUGAAGGCCUUCGGGUUGUAAACUGCUUUUGUACGGAGCGAAAAGCCCUGGGUUAAUACCCUGGGGUCAUGACGGUACCGGAAGAAUAAGCACCGGCUAACUACGUG